UACGAAGGGGGCUAGCGUUGCUCGGAAUCACUGGGCGUAAAGGGCGCGUAGGCGGCCGAUCAAGUCGGAGGUGAAAGCCCAGGGCUCAACCCUGGAAUGGCCUUCGAUACUGGUUGGCUCGAGACCGGAAGAGGUCAGUGGAACUGCGAGUGUAGAGGUGAAAUUCGUAGAUAUUCGCAAGAACACCAGUGGCGAAGGCGGCUGACUGGUCCGGUUCUGACGCUGAGGCGCGAAAGCGCGGGGAGCAAACAGG
RNAcentral lists this ribosomal RNA (253 nucleotides) under uncultured bacterium. RNAcentral describes it as "partial 16S ribosomal RNA". It matches the Rfam family "Bacterial small subunit ribosomal RNA", at positions 524 to 776 of the family's 1533-position model. The record is from RNAcentral.